AGAGUUUGAUCAUGGCUCAGGAUGAACGCUAGCUACAGGCUUAACACAUGCAAGUCGAGGGGCAGCAUGGUCUUAGCUUGCUAAGGCCGAUGGCGACCGGCGCACGGGUGAGUAACACGUAUCCAACCUGCCGUCUACUCUUGGACAGCCUUCUGAAAGGAAGAUUAAUACAAGAUGGCAUCAUGAGUCCGCAUGUUCACAUGAUUAAAGGUAUUCCGGUAGACGAUGGGGAUGCGUUCCAUUAGAUAGUAGGCGGGGUAACGGCCCACCUAGUCUUCGAUGGAUAGGGGUUCNGAGAGGAAGGUCCCCCACAUUGGAACUGAGACACGGUCCAAACUCAUACGGGAGGCAGCA
This 354-nucleotide ribosomal RNA is filed under the name uncultured bacterium. RNAcentral describes it as "bacterial SSU rRNA". It matches the Rfam family "Bacterial small subunit ribosomal RNA", at positions 8 to 353 of the family's 1533-position model. The record is from RNAcentral.